UUCCUUCUGCCACUAAAAAAAUACAAAAAACGAGUUUUUAAAUUGUGCGGUAUGUUUAGUUUUAUUUUUUAUUUUACUUUUUAAAGUUUAUUUAUUUUAAGAGAGAGAAUAAGCAGGGGAGGGACACAGAGAAUCCUAAAUAGCCUCCACACUGUCAGCAUGGACCCCAAUGUGGGGCUCGAACUCGCAGACUGUGAGAUCAUGGCUUGAACCAAAAUCAAGAGUUGGACGCUUAACUGACUGAGCCACCCUGGUGCCCCAUAUGCAGUAUAAUUUAAAUUCUUCAAAAAGGAAAACAUUUUAUGCAUGCUAAAUAUAUUUCAGGGAGAUUUAAUAUGUGAGGUUAUGAUUAUCCCAGUGAUGAAGCUUAUACUUCUAUUUCCUUAAAACAGGAAGUAUCAUUGCUUUCUCAGGCUCCAGGAAGGCAGAAGAUUGAUUUGAAUUAUGAAAGGACAAGUUAGGAAAAUAAUUGAGGUUAGUCUCAGAUCAGUUAGAUUGGUGGCCAUUAAUGAAAACACACUUGUUUUUAUAAUUUUGUCUGUAACCCAAUUUCUUUUUUCCCCCCAUUUUAGAAACUUAAUUUUAAAAUUUUUAUUUAAUUUUUUAAAUAAUUUUUAAAGUUUAUUUAUUUAUUUUGAGAGAGAGAGCAGGGGAGGGGCCUAGGGAGAGAGAGAGAAUCCCAAGCAGGCUCUGUAGUGCAGGAUCAUGACUGAACCGAAAUCAAGAGUCAGAUGCUUAACUGGCUGAGCCACCCAGGGAGGGGCCCUGUAAAAAAAAAAAAAAAAUGAAAGUAAACUUGCAUUUAUCUGUCAGUCUGUCUGUCUGUCUGUCUGUCUAUCUAUCUAUCUAGAUCCAAGUUAGUUAACAUGUAGUGUAGUAAUGGUUUCAGGAGUAGAAUUCAGUGAUUCGUCACUUACAUAUAACACCCAGUGCUCAUUGCAGCCAGUGCCCUCCUUGAUACCCAUCACCCGCUUAGCCCACCGCCCCCCCACCUCCCCAACAGCAACCCUCUGUUCUCUGCAUUUAAGAUCCUCUUAUAGUUUGCCUCCCUCUGUUUUUAUUUUAUUUUCCCUUCCUUUCCCCUAUGUGCAUCUGUUUUGUUUCUUAAAUUCCACAUAUGAGUGAAAUCUUAUGAUACUUGCCUUUUUCUGACUGACUGAUUUUGCUUAUCAUAAUACGCUCUAGAUCCAUCCAUGUUGUUACAAAUGUCACUGUUUCAUUCCUUUUGAUCACCGAGUAACAUUCCAUUUAAUACACACACACCCCCCACAUCUUCUUUAUCCAUUCAUCAGUCAAUGGACUUUUGGGCUCUUUCCGUAAUUUGGCUGUUGUUGAUAGUGGUGCUAUAAACAUUGGGGUGCAUGUACCGCUUUGAAUUAGCAUUUUUGUAUCCCUUGGAUAAAUACCUAGUGGUGCAGUUGCUGGGUCAUAGAGUGAUUCUGUGUUUAAUUUUUUGAGGAACCUCCAUACUCUUUUCCAGAGUGGUUGCAUUAGUUGCAUUCCCACCAGCAGUGCAAAAGUGUUCCUCUUUCUCUGCAUCCUCACCAACACCUGUUGUUUCCUGAGUUGUUAAUUUUAGCCGCUCUGACAGGUGUGAGGUGGUAUCUCAUUGUAGUUUUGGUUUGUAUUUCCCUGAUGAUGAGUGAUGUGGAGCAAUUUUUUCAGGUGUCUGUUAGUCAUCUGGAUGUCUUCUUUGGAAAAGUGUUUAUGUCUUCUGCCCAUUUCUUCACUAGAUUCUUUGUUUUUUGGGUGUUGGGUUUGAUUAGUUCUAAAGCAAUUUUUUUCUUUAUGUUUAUUUUUGAGAGAGAGAGAGAGAGAGAGAGAGAGAGAGAGAGAGAGAGAGAAAGAAAGAGUGGGGAAGGGACACAGAGAGAGGGAGACACAGAAUCCGAAGCAGGCUGCAGGCUCCAGGCUCUGAGCUCUCAGCACAGAGCCUGGUGCGGGGCUCGAACUCACCAUCUGCAAGAUCAUGAUCUGAGCCAAAGUCAAACACUUAACUGCCUGAGCCACUCAGGUGCCCCCAAGUUUGGUUAGUUCUUUAUAGAUUUUAGAUUCUAAGCCUUUAUCGGAUAUGUCAUUUGCAAAUGUCUUCUCCCAUUCUGUAGGCUGCCUUUUAGUUUUGUUGAUUGUUUCCUUCGCUGGGCAGAAGCUUUUUAUCUUGAUGAGGUCCCAACAGUUCAUUUUUGCUUUUGUUUCUCUUGCCUCUGGAGACAUGUUGAAAAAGAAGUUGCUGCAGCCAAAGUCAAAGAGGUUGUUGCCUGUUUUCUCCUCUAGGAUUUUGAUGCUUUCCUGUCUUACAUUUAGGUCUUUCAUCCAUUUUGAGUUUAUUUUUGUGUGUGGUGUGAGAAAGUGAUCCAGGUUCAUUCUUCUGCAUGUCACUGUUCAGUUUUCCCAACACCAUUUGCUGAAGAGACUGUCUUUUCUUCCAUUGGAUAUUCAUCUCUGGUUUGUUGAAGAUUUGUUGGCCAUACAUUUGGGGGUCCGUUUCUGGGUUCUCUGUUUUGUUCCGUUGAUCUGUGUGUCUGUUCUUGUGCCAGUACCAUACUGUCUUGAUGAGUAUAGCUUUGUAAUACAGUUUGAAGUCCGGAAAUUGUGAUGUCUCCAGCUUUGGUUUUCUUUUUCAGGAUUGUUUUGGGCUAUUUGGGGUCUUUUCUGGUUUCAUACAAAUUUUAGGAUUGUUUGUUCUAGCUCUGUGAAGAAUGCUGGUGUUAUUUGAUAGGCAUUGCAUUGAAUAUGUAGAUUGCUUGGGGGAGUGUAGACAUUUUAACAAUGUUUGUUCUUCAUUCCAUGAGCAUGGAAUGUUUUUCCCUUUCUUUGUGUCUUUUUCAGUUUCUUUCAUAAGCUUUCUAUAGUUUUCAGCGUACAGAUCUUUUACCUCUUUGGGUCGGUUUAUUCCUAGGUACCUUACAAUUUUUGGUGCAAGUGUAAAUGGGAUCAAUUCCUUGAUUUCUCUUUCUGCUGCUUCAUUAUUGGUGAAUAGAAAUGCAUCCAAUUUCUGUACAUUGCUUUUAUAAUCUGUGACUUUGCUGAAUUCAUGUAUCUGUUCUGACAGUUUUUUGGUGGUCUUUUGGGUUUUCCACUUAAGAGUGUCAUGUUGUCUGCAAAGAGUGAAAGUUUGAAUUCUUCCUUGCCAAUUUGUAUGCCUUUGAUUUCUUUUUGUUGUCUGAUUGCCCGGUUUCUUCUUAAUGGAAUUGGUAGCCCAGAGUUUCUUCCCUCUUGUGGUGGGAGAAAGUAGGGGGAGCCAGAGUGGGAAUGGCUAGGAAAGGAGCUCUUCUCAAAAGAUCCUUCUUUGUUUUGGCAGAUCUGUGGAGAAAGUGAUUCUCAUGGGAGGUGGGUGGGGAGUGACCAUUUGUGUUUCUUUCCUUUGUGGGUAGCUUGAAGGAAUCUAGUGAUAACCCAUGUCUUUGGUCCCAAGUAGCUGACUAGAAGAGACUUAGUCUUAUCUGAGUGUCACUAAGUGAAAAGAAACUAGGAGAAAAGAAGAAAACAAUGACGUGGGGAAACAUUUUUUUUUUUUUUUUUACAGUACAUCUUUUUGAAGUGUCAUCUCAUUUUCUGUGCAUUAUUGGAAUGUACUUUUAACUGACAUUUGAAGUGCUUGUGAGGCCAGAACUCUAGAACAAACUGAUGGAGGUAAAGUCUGACUUCUCUCUUCCUUUACUGGUACCUUUGCUAUUUCCAUCACUGCUUUCUCGGUUCUGAUUAAACCUUGGCAGCUACGUGAAACCCAACCCAUGCGUCCCAGAAGGCAGGCCACACGUGUAAUUGGGUAAUGUAGGAGGACAUGUGCAGUGAGUCCCUUUCCACUCACUGAUAGUGUCCUGGGUAGUAGCCCUGAGAAGAGACAGUGAAGACGCGGUGUUUGUGAAUACCAACUGAGAUCAUCACCAAGCAACACACUGCUACUUUUUCUAGUGAUGAUAAAUUACUUCUAGCCUUUAUCUUAGCCAUUUCAUAUAUUCUGAAAAGGAUUGCAUCCUGUCCCCUGCCAGUUGGUCUUGGACUCUGGCUGGGUUACCUGUGAAAGUGAGAUAGCGAACUGGGAUCCACACACGAGACAGGUAAAGUCUAGGAGUAAGAGCGGGAGCCAAGUGUGGGGAAUACAGUGAGUUGAAAUGAAGUAGGAAUAGGGGUAGAACAAAGGAAGACACAUGAUGGAGAGCAAGAUAAGGAAGAGGUAGUGACUAGGGGAGCUUAUAGUGGGGAAUGAGGCAAGGCUCUGUAUUAAAAGCCAGGGCAGUGGUCAGACACCUAGAUACAUACUAGAGGCAAGGUAGUUGGUUAAAAGUUUAUAAUUUAGGAGCCAGAACAUCUCUUCCCUGAAAAAGAAGACUAUCGUUUUGAGCCAUUUGUAGCACCGCUCCAGAGACAGCAGUCUUUCCUAGGUGGGAAAGUUCUUCCUAGGUGGGAAGGUUCUUGCUAGGCAAUAGCUACUCCCAGAUGAGCCAACACAGAAAGCAGCAGUUCACUUUCCGUGCUGAAUCGGAAUCUUUCCAUGCAUUCUGCGUUGGCUGUCAUCCAGGAGUGAAGACAGUUGCUGACUCUUCAGCAGCUGGUCUAAAUCACAAGGGCGUUUACGGUGGGUAAGUAAGGUUUUGGUAAGUUCUCUCUCAAAGUAGAUUUCUAGAUCACAGUCCAGAAAAUCUGAAUAUGUUUGUAUGCAGAAACUGUGAGGUAGGUUAACUUUGGAAGCAAAUCACUAGAUUAUUGUGGGCUAGCACACGAUUGACAUUUGGAAGAGAUGCAUCUUGACAUCUUCCAAAAGUCCCAGUUUUGUGAAUACCAUUAUGACAUAAAAUUUUCCUUCGCAAAAUAUAAUUUUUGCCCCGCUGGACCACUCACCAAAAAUAUUUUUGCAGAUGGCUUUUUCUUGUUUCUGACUAAGCAUAUGGUCACUGGUUCCAUUUAUAAGUCAGAGUCCUCCCCGAUGACUUUCCUCCCUUGUCCUUUUGGCUAACACUAGUCAUUCCUUAAACCUCUUCACUUUUACCACCAGCUGUAGCACUUGGCUGCUUUUUAAUGUCCAUGUCUGUCCGAAGAAAAAGCUUUAAAACAACAGCUUCGGGGAAGUUACUGUGUUCUCAGGCAACAAGUAGAGAAGGAUACACAAAGACAACAAAAUACACAAACCCACCUGUUGGGCUCAUUUGCAAGUGAAGUGACUGCUUCCUUUCACCGGCCCGUGGCCUGUGCGGGGCCUGCUGCUCACAUUCUAGCCUCUGCAAAGUUGCCUGGACUACAUUUUCAUGGUGGCCCUUUUCUGUACAUCUGGAAUGGCUGAAACUAAAAACUUUAAGUCGAUCACUACCAAAGUUCUUCUGUAUAUUCUUCCUUUCAUCUGUCAGUUUUCUUUGAAAAAACUUAGAGUGGUGCCUGGGUGGCUCAGUCAGUUAAGUGUCUGACUUGGGCCCAGGUCCUGAUCUCACAGUUCUGUGAGUAGAGCCUGGUGCCUGCUUGGGAUUCUGUGUCUCCCUCUCUCGCUGCCCCUCCCCUGCUCGUGCUGUCUCUCUCUCAAAACUAAAUAAACGUUAUAAAAAAUUAAAAAAAAAAAUUUAGAGCAAUUUGUUUGUAAAUUAAUACUAACUUCACCAAUAAUUAGAUUGUAGGGAUGUUAGGAUUCUAACCAUAUUAGAUAAAGUUCUUAAAAGAGGUGUAGAGAAAUUAAACAGCAUGUAUUUCUAUAUCUGACUUUCUUGUUGGUUUUCUGGUAGGAUUUCCUUUUAGAACCAAAUGAAGAUAACAUUUUAGAUGUUACCUUUGUUCAAGGUGUGCUUUUAAUUCUGGGGAUAAAUGUAAUGGUAUAAUUCUCUGACAUCACGCUUAUUUGGAAACAUAUGUUAGGUUCCUUUGGGUUCUUUUUUUAUUUGGAAAUUUCAUCAGUUUGUAAAUAACUACAGCUGUUGUCAUGUGUUGGUGCAAACCUUCCAUUAUCUGUGUUUCCUGCUCCCAUCAUAUACCACCAUUAGUGAAGUUAGCCAUGUGAAUUUAAUUUCCAGCUGUAGAUGUAAGGAAGUGAGCAUGAUUGUUUCGAUCUAUUGUUAAGGAAAGGCUGAAUGCUUACUAGGUUUUCUUACACACCUUUAAAAGUAUUGUGAAUUUCUUACGUUAUUUGUCUUUGAGGAUAUGUAGAUAAAUCUUAGUACUACAUUUGAAAACUAUGGUUGUGUAUAUUCAGUGCUUCAGCUGUAGGACUGAAAAUUCUUCUUGAUAUAGAAGAAUUUUGAAAUUUACAGUGUUUAUAUUUUGUAGAAUGAAUUCUGUCAAUUAGGAAUUCUUUUCGUGGAAUAAAAUUAAGUUGUGUUCAUGAAAUAUGGAAUGAAGUACCAAGGCUAUCUCUCUCUUCCCACUCCCCUUUUACCUGUUCCUGUCAAAUACUUUAUUUAAUAUAUCUAUAAUUUUCAAGUUAUAAAGUUUCUUUCAAAGUUUGGUUUUAAAUGUCAUAUACCAUAAUGCUUAAUGUCUUUGUUCUGUACUUAUUGGCACUUGCAUUUUAAUCAUCCAUCCAUCCAUCCAUCCAUCCAUCCAUCCUUGUCUGUGUUGUUUUUGGAAGUUCCUGUGCUAUAAAGAUUUACAGUUUAGUGGGGUCCUUGUAAUUAUAAUGCCGGGCCUUUGAAUUUUUGAAACUUUUAACUUUUAAACUUUUUUUUAACUGUUAAACUUUUUUAACUGUUUUAACUUUUAAACUUAUUUUUCUCAGUUCUGAUUGAAAGGAUGAGUUUCAAUAAGAGGCUUAACAUUUCAUAAAGAAAUGCAUCUAUGUUUUGGCCACUCUUUGAAUUAUGUUGACGCUUUUAAUUAACUUUUACAGGUAGCACCACACCAGGAUGACAAGUAAUGCCAGGUGGUGUGAAGUUUGUCCUGAGACCUGUGAGGCACUUUCAAGAGCCUGACAGUUCAGAGGAAUGUGGUUUGGAGCCACUCAUUUGAGUCCAACCCUCCCCAAUCCCACAUCCCCCAACCCUUUUUGUCAGGUGAGUAGACGCAGACUACCUUUAGUCUGUAGAUUUUUGUAGAAAACAGUCAUGAAAUGUAUCUGAAAAGUUUUAACAAAGCCCAUUCCUCUGGGUCCAGGUACUUAGCAGUGGGCCUGGCAAGAACAGCAGUGCUUUUGUAAAACUUUGCAAUUUCUUUCUUUCAUCCUUUUGCAAGAUGUUCAUAUAUUUUGAAGAAAUCUCCUGACUUUCCAUUCACUCCCAAGUCUUUUGUGAGAAGGAAUGUGAAUUUUUCUUAAGCACUAAAAUUGCCUUACUGAGGAGUGAAUCUGUGGCAAGAUACUGGCGAUGAAGAACCCAGGAGGCUGUGUGAUGGUGCAGGGUUGGUGGCUUUUUGGGGAAAUUAGGGGUUCCUUGUGCCUCAUGGCCUUGGGCUGUGUAGAGUGAGUCAGCCAAGCGCAGAGAAGUGAAGUCACUUGCUCAGAGGCAUACAGUUUGUUAGCGGCAGAGCCAGAAUUGCAGCCCGAUCUCUAGUAACACUGCGCUUUUCCCUUUUCCAUUGUGCUCCUUGACCUCUGACUGUUGUCUGGAUGGCCAUAAUACUUGAGAAAACACAGUGUUGUAUUCCUCAAGUAGAGGGCAUUUUAUCCUUCAAGUCAGGACUUAGGUCCUGGAAAUUGGUGUUUUUCUUUAUCUUUUAAAAAAUCUUAAGCUAUGUAAAACGAUUCUGCUUUGAACGAAGGGAACUGGUAUCUGCCAAAAUCACUAUUGAGCUUCUCUAGUCAUUUAUUUUCUUGAAAUUGAAAUGAAACUUUCUGAACACAGCCUUACUGAAUAUGGAUUUCAGAGCCAUAAUAAUGCUUCUUGCCUCUGCAGAUUUUGAAUUGAUCUGAGUUUGGCAGUGAAUUAUGUAUGUGUUAUUUCAGGAAUUUUGCACAUGCCCUGCUUUAAACCACUGAUUAUUUUUGUAAAAUGCUGUUGUGUGGAUUUGGCUCAUUCCAUUGACGCUGAACUCAUCAGAUGGCUAUAUUGUCUUCUAGGAAUGUGACUUGAAUUCAUUAAAUGACACAGGCAACAACAUCUGUUUUAUAAAGCUAGUUUAGUUCCCUAAAACUUAAAAUUUUCAAAUUUACAGCUUACAAAUAGAAUAAACCUUACUUCUUUUAUGCCGUAAAAAGAUUUCCACAGAGUUUUGAUGAUGACUUAUUUUAGCCUUAUUUUUAACGUAAUUCUUACAACUUAUUUUCUUAUUCUAUUGUUCAUUUUCAAGGAAAAGUAAUAUUAGGAAUGUUGGAAACUUACAGUCUUAAAUGAGUGGCUCUCAACUUUUUUAGGUCACCUUAUCCGUUUGAGAUUUGCAGAAAGCUUUGGAUGGUCUAGAAUAAGCACCUGUACAUGUGCUUCUGAAACUGUGUACAGCUGUGGGGAGUUGGAGCUCUCUAGGGCAGAUCCCCUCAAGUUCAUUACCUCCUGGUUGAUGUUGGUUGGUGUCUUGUGCUUCAUAUGUGUUACUAAGUAUGUUAAUAAUGCUGGUGACUCUGCACCAAAGUUACCUUCUUUAUGUACAGAUUUUAGAUUUAUAGAAUAUUGGAAUUGCUGUUAAAAAAUAAAGUAUUUUAUGAUGUUGGUCCAUUAACGUAUCAUUUAUAUUUCUCUGUUGUAUUGUCUAUUUUUAUUCUUUUCCUCUUCCUUGUGGUUUUUCCAGGGAAGGAAACCUAUCCAUCUCAAGGUUUCUUGAUUUAUUAUCCCAGCACUGAUUUGGAUACGUUUGAUGAGCAAGGUUUAUAUGAUAGAUAUAUGGUAUUAAAAUAAAAAUAUGCUUGUCAGAUUUCAUCUUGGGAGGUUUGUUCCUUUAUGCCUCCUGUGUAUAAUAUUUCCAAGUUGUGUUUUCAAUUUGGGAUAGAAUAUGUUAGAGAAAAUUGGGACUUAGGUAGAGGUAGAUACUCUCCUAUGAUAAACCAUAGGGCUUGUGUAUCAAACCAGUGGAUGUGCGUUAUUAUGUGUAGCCGAUCCAGUACUCUUUCUUUUUUCUUUUCUUCCCUUUUUCUUUUUCUUGUAAUGUUUUGUUUACUUUUGAGAGAGAGGGAGGGUGUGAGCGGGGCAGAGGCAGAGAGAAGGAGAGAGAAUCCCAAGCAGGCUCUGCACUGUCAGCACGGAGCUUGACGGGGGGCUCGAAUUCACGAACCGUGGGAUCACGAUCUGAGUUGAAGUUGGACACUCAACCAACUGAGCCACCCAGGUGCACCACUCUUUUUUUAAAACAACAGUUUAAAAAGUUUUAAGAAUUUAUUUUGAGAGAGCAGUAGAGAGAGAGAAAGUGCACAAGUGAGAGAGGGGAAGGGAGAGAGGGAGAGAGAAUCCCAGUCUCCCGUCGAUCACGACUUGGGCCGAAACCAAGAGUUGGACGCUUAACUGACUGAGCCGCCCAGGUGCCCCUGACCUGGUACUCUUUGUAGGGGCCGUGUUCUGUGGCAGUGUGGAGUCUCACCAGCAGCUUCAAGGCAAGCACGUGUAUCUGCUAGCUAAUUCUGAGGAUGGCUGUUCUUUUGUAACAUCUCUUCAAACUGGAUUUUUACUUUAAACUCAGAGGAUGGGUCCAUUUACUUGCCAGCCCACCCCUUGAAAUGAUAAUGGCAAUAGCUACCGUAUCUGCUGUGUGACAAGAACUUUUAUGAUGUUCUCUACCUCCAGCCCUUUAUUUAAAAAGCUUUAACUUCCUGACUACUACUCAUUUCAUCAUUUAUCUUUAAUCAUUAAACCAACUCAGAUUUAUUGAUGGGAAAUUGAGGUUCAGCGAGGGUGCUGCCUUUGAAGUGUGCUUAAUAAGUAUCACUUAUGUUAUCGUGGGCUUUAUGUACCAGAACUGUUUGCUUGCUGUAUUUCUUUCCCUCCCAGUGGGCUAUAGGUGUAUUGAGGACAGUCUCCAUACAUAGUCCUAAUACUAGUAAUAUAGUGCCUGCUAAGUUAUUAAGCAAUAGUUGAACAAUUGCUGGUUGAAUGAAUUCCCAUGAGUUUUACAAUUUAGACCCGAUAAGCAAAAUUAUUUUUCUUCACCUGUUUCUCUCACCAGACUACAAAUGGUGUUUUACUAAUAAGUGUGACAGUUUAUUGUGAAUGUAAUUGAUGUCUUCGUUUAGCAUCAUUUAUACAGUAUGUGAUGAGAAAGGUGGCUAAAAUGUAUGAAAUUGUUAACAUUGUCAAAAGUACAAAAGUGCCUUGGAAAUGUUGAAUGGCUGCCAUUGCUUUUUUUUCUGGUCUCAGAAGAAAAUGAGACACUUAAAAAGGCAGAGGAUUCUGUCACUUUAUCAAACAAUCUUACAUUAGUACGUGAAUUUAAUCACAUAUGAUUCUUUAAAUAGGGUGUUUAAAAUGUUUUCUUCUCUUCUAUUUGAACUAUAACAAAGUAAUUUGGCUUACUGCUGAUUUAAAUGAUAUUACUUAGAAGACACAGUCUGGGAUAGAAAAUGUUCGUAUAGUCUUGAACCUUCUAAGGAAGGAAUAUAAUUUUCUAAUUAAUGCCUUUUACUGUGUAAAGAUAGUCGUUUUAGGUGAUUAGCUUCCUAAAUGUUGCAAGUAUGAUAUGAGGGCAAAUAUAUUUCCUUAUUUUGGGGGAUGUGGGCAAGGGUAGGAUUUGAUACUGGACGAAAAUAUUAUUUUUCCUAUUACAUGUUACAUGUUUGAAUUAAAAAAAAAAGCGUUUAGUAAGUAUGAAGUUCCAGUCUUAAAAUUUGAUGACUGUUUAACCAAAUGGGAGCUAUUUUCUGAAAGUGCUUUAGGACAAUCAAGUGCUAGUGCUUUUACACGCUUAUUCAAAGUACAAAUUUAGGCGUUUGAUGAAAGUAUUUUCUGAGAGAGAAUGCUUCAAAGUCAGAUUAUCAGCUUCCGUAAGCCUCAAGGGUGACACAGUUUAAAGUUUCGUUCCUCUAGAUAAGGGCUUAGCGUGUUCUGCAGAUGCGGGUGUUUAUUGUUUGAGGAAAAGCUGUUUGACAUGAACAUAAAGUGUGUGAAACCUGUGCCCCUUUUAUGUAAAGUCUUUUCUCCACUUUCUUAGAUAGAGAUGGCUAAGAUUAUGUUUUUGAAAUCUACUAAAAAUCAAAAUUUGCUUCGAGGAUAACACCUGUUUUUGUGGCGGGCUAGUGUUAUAUAAAAUGGGUCUGCCCUCUCGUGUAAAAGCCCAUAGAGAGCAUAUGGAAGAGACGAGGGCAUAGAUGGGACUGCACAGGGAAGGGAGUGGUUAGAUGGCCAGUUUGGGAGGCUUAGAGGAAGAGCAGCAGAUCAGUAGAUGAUGGCUUCUUCUCUGAAUGGAUCAGACCUCUUUGCAGGGUCCAAGUCAGUGUAUCAAACUGUAGAUACAUAAUUUUUGCUAGCUCCUAGGGGCAGAGAGGGUGGGAAUAAGGACCUAAAGAGAGGUAGUAGGAGACCCUAACUUUGUGUAAUUGUACUCUUAAAGUCUUACGUUUCUUAGAAUCUGUGUCUUUAUCUAAAGCUAUAGCUGUAAUUCAUUUUACUAAUUUUCUUAAAGCGUGUUCAUGCAUUCAGUUUUUAUUAUUCAUCAGACAGUUUUUGCAUGCUUAUUAUGUGGAGAGCUGUGAUUGUAAGAGGCAUUUCUUGAGGUCCUGCGUUUAAGGAGCUCUUAGUCUAGAGGAGGUGUUGGAGGCAGGAUGACUGACACAAGAAAGAGGUUAACUAUCAAAUUAAGUGAUGACAAUAACUAACAUUCAGGAUGUUUUCUGGUUGAAAGACUGGGCCCUCAGCUCCAUGAGUGAGGUUGUCAGGCAAGUCUCAGUGUGCAGAGGCAGGCCUGUACUUCAAUGUGGGCUCAUAGGAGUGAAAGCAAUUUAUUCUACUUGGUUAUGGAUGGAAGCUUUGCACAAAGUAGGUGGGACCUAUUGCCUUUAAAGACUAGGAUUUCACUAGGCGGGGAGGAAGGAGAAGCCACGCAAAGCUGACAACAUAGCAUAAAAGGCAUGGUUUUUGUUUUUGAGUAUAUGACAUACACAGGAUACCUUGAAUACUCUUGGGUUACUUGAACAUUGAGUUUUAAGUCAAGGAGGGGAAGGAAAGACAGAUUAAGGUUAAGGUCAGGCUGUGAUGUAAGAUUGUACAUUUCAGGCCAAAGUCGGAGAAAAGAUGAAAUGGCCUAAUUUUUUUUUUUAUGGUUUAGUUCUUUAAUACUUUUUUUCUUUUCUUUUGCAUUCAUUAAAGUUCUUGGAUUCUUGGUGUGUGGAAGAAAAGUAACACAUAACAACUCGUGUUUGGGUUAUCUGUCAAACACUGUGGAGGGUAUUUCGUAUUGCUAAUGAAUGUGUGAUUUCAUAGGCAUUGUCCAAGUGGUCUCUUAUGUAAAAAUUUUCUAUCAAAGUGAUUGCUUUUAUGUGAACUUGUUAGUUGUUUUUUUUUUUUUUUGUUUUUUUUUUUUUGCUUUUUAUAAAAGAGGAUGGAUUGCUGGGUGGUAAAUGCCAAUUUGAAAUGUUAUCUUCCUUUUAUUAAAAAAUCAUAAAGUGUUGCUUUCUAAUUUUUAUGGUUUUAGCUAGCAGCUGGUGAAUUAACUACUUUUGAAGCAGUUGGAGCUCCCAUUUUUAUCCAAGAAGAACAUCUUCCUGAUGAAAAUAGAGUAGUGGUUGUGCUAAAUGACUGAAGAAUGGACAAAGAGAUAAAGCAGAGAACAGAGAUAAGAGUUUCUUGUGGCCGCAAGCCAAAGGCCCACUGACAUUUGCAGAUAACUAAAAAGCACGUGGUGUGUUUCUCCUACCGUCAGAUAGAUGCUGCCUGAGCUGUACUCUAGCUAUGAGGCCAGCCCCUCCGCUGCGUCCGCAGGUAGGCUGCGUGUCGUUGGCCGUGUUGUCAUCCACUAGAACUCCAGGCAAAUUUAUGGAUCACCUGGGUGGAGAUUUGGACUGAAGUAGAGUGAAUAUGCUGUUUAUCACCAGCAAAGAAUAUACUUUGUCUUGCAGGGUUGCUGAACUGAUGUUCUGUUUAUAGUUUGUGUUUCCGAUUUGUGUGGUUACUUUUUAUUUUUUUUAAUUUUUAUUUAUUUAUUUUUUUAAAUGUUUAUUUAUUUUUGAGACAGAGAGAGACAGAGCAUGAACGGGGGAGGGUCAGAGAAACAGACACAGAAUCUGAAACAGGCUCCAGGCUCUGAGCUGUCAGCCCAGAGCCCGACGUGGGGCUCGAACUCACGGAUCGCGAGAUCGUGACCUGAGCCGAAGUCAGAUGCUUAACCAACUGAGCUACCCAGGCGCCCCUGUGUGGUUACUUUUUAAACUGUGCUGUAUCUUUGAAAGACUCCUAAAGAUACAUAUUCUCAUCAAAACAAAUGAUUAUUUUAUAAUAAUCAUUAUAAAUAAAAUACAGUUGUUUGAAGCCAGGUCUGCGUAAACUAAAAUUAAUGCCCUUUGAUUAAUUUCGUAUUUCCACUACAACACAGAAAACUUUAACCAGUUGUGUAUCUUGACCAGUUCAGAUAAAAUCAUGGAUUCUUCAGCCAUAUAGUUAGCUGAACUACCAAAAAGAGACUUAAACCUCAUAGUGUAAAUGUAGCCUCCCUUGUCAGCAUUAUUCCUUUUCUGACUACUUAUUUUAAAUUUAGAGAGAAGAGUUAAUAGGCCGUUUUGAUUGAGUAAUUUGUUAUAGCACUAGCUGGGCUUUUGGUUUAUAUAUGUGAUGUAAGUUAACCAGAAAUUGUAUUCUUUGUUGGGAAUUCUGUUACUCAGUCCUGCAGUCUACUAUUCUGGUAGUCUUCUGCCCCAGUCCCAAGUUUUUACCACAGUUUUGAAAAGAAAAGCACUCUCAUCUCAUGCCUCAUUUCUCUGGGCAUAGAAACUGAAUUUCAAGGACUGUUGAGUUGCAGCCGAAGACUGGGCCAGUUAGACUCUUGUUAAUUGCACCUUAUUUAUUGGCCCUCCAUUUCAGCUUUGCUCUGUGGAACCACCUGGAAGAUCUCUGUGGUGUUCUGGGGUAGCAUGUGAGUUAUACAAAAAAACAAAAACAAAACUUUCAAAAUAUAAUUGAAAAAUUAGGUUAAAUGAAUUAACAUUUUUUUCCUUGCCACUUGAAAGUUAGAUUCUAUGUUACUUUACAGUGUUCCCUUUAUGUAAAUUUGUUAACAUUAAUUCAUCUAUCUGGGUAAUACGUGAUUCGGUCGUAUUCUCUUUUCUGAUGUAAGGCCAAUCUCUUGCGAUUGCUUUACUUGUUCUGAAACUGUGGUUAAAUACAUUUUGGAGCCUCUUUAUCUGUCCUUUAUAUGUGUAUUUUUAAAAAAUUCUUUACCUCUGCCACAUCCUAGUUAAAUUAAUUAUUCUAGUUCCUUCAUUCCUUUUCAGUUUUUCCCGUUUAAACUUCACCCCUUCUAUUGAAUUUUCAAUUUUAGUGCUUGUUUUAAAUUUCAAAAAUUUAUUUUCAAGCUUUCUAAAUUGAUUUUCUCAUUUCCACCUAAUCUGGUUUCACUUUUGCUUGUCUCAUGGUUUUUAUCCUUUUAUAAAAGAAAUUUAAUAACUUUUCUUAUGUUUGUUUAUCUUUUAGGAACUAUUAAACAUACUAUUUGCACGCAUCUUCCAGACUUUCCUGAUUCUGUUUUGUUUGGAGGGAUUGCAUAUUUUGGUUGCUGUAUUUGCAGACUUACUAGUUUUCUUCAUAUGUUGUGGUACAACC
Molecule: long non-coding RNA, 14582 nt
Organism: Neofelis nebulosa (Clouded leopard)
Lineage: Eukaryota; Metazoa; Chordata; Mammalia; Carnivora; Felidae
Exons: 2
Source: RefSeq, a predicted model, not a curated record